GAUGAACGCUAGCGGCAGGCUUAACACAUGCAAGUCGAGGGGCAGCAUGACACGGAGAUUCGUCAAAGUGUUGAUGGCGACCGGCGCAAGGGUGCGUAACGCGUGAGCAACUUGCCCGUUUCUGGGGAAUAACCGGUGGAAACGCCGACUAAUACCCCAUAGUAUCAACUUUAGGCAUCUUUAGUUGAUUAAAGAAUUUCGGAAACGGAUAGGCUCGCGUGACAUUAGCUAGAUGGCGGGGUAACGGCCCACCAUGGCGACGAUGUCUAGGGGUUCUGAGAGGAAGGUCCCCCACACUGGAACUGAGACACGGUCCAGACUCCUACGGGAGGCAGCAGUGAGGAAUAUUGGUCAAUGGUCGAAAAGACUGAACCAGCCAUGCCGCGUGAAAGGUGACGGCCCUAUGGGUCUUAAAACUUCUUUUGUAAGGGAGCAAUAAGGUUCACGUGUGGACUGAUGAGAGUACCUUACGAAUAAGCAUCGGCUAAACUCCGUGCCAGCAG
This 503-nucleotide ribosomal RNA is filed under the name uncultured bacterium. RNAcentral's name for it is "bacterial SSU rRNA". It matches the Rfam family "Bacterial small subunit ribosomal RNA", at positions 28 to 514 of the family's 1533-position model. The record is from RNAcentral.